Molecule: transfer RNA, 66 nt
Filed under: Lepisma saccharinum
Lineage: Eukaryota; Metazoa; Arthropoda; Insecta; Zygentoma; Lepismatidae
Description: Lepisma saccharina tRNA-Leu
Source: RNAcentral
UCUAAAAUGGCAGACAAGUGCAUUGAGUCUAAGCCUCAAAAAUAAGAUAUUAUAUCUUUUUUAGAA